GGUGUCCUCUGCUGUCACUGUGACAGCUAUUUGGUAAAAUAAGCUUCCAGCAAAUGAAAAGUCAUCAACAUCACAAGUUGCACAUAAGGAGAUUCUGUGUUAGGUGAAUAAUCCUUAUGGAGGUAGCUUUGGUUUUUCAAACUAAAUGAUCUUAGUCUUUCCCUACUAAGUACACACUCUGAUAGAGCAAGAUGAAAAGUCAUCAACAUCACAAGUUGGACAUGAGGAGAUUCUGUGUUAGGUGAAUAAUCCUUAUAGAGGUAGCUUUGGUUUUUCAAACUAAAUGAUCUUAGUCUUUCCCUACUAAGUACACACUCUGAUAGAGCAAGAUGCUUCAUGGUCACUACAUAUUUGAUCACUACAGGUAACGAAGAAAACUGGUUCCCUUUAGAUUUAUUGUAUUUUUUGCAUCUUUAGCAGAGGCAAUCAUAUUGCUGGUUUUAGCGUUGCGUUUCGGAUAUGAAUAGUGUUUAUCGGUUCUACUUUUGGUAUUUAUUUGAUUGGGGUCUGAAAGUCCUCACAUAUUGAAGAUUUGACUUUCACAGUUAAGGUGUGUUUUAUAUGGGGUUCCUUGCGAAUCCAAAUCUUGGCAUUAUAGGAAAGGUUUCUAGGCAUCCAUGCUUAGAUUACUU
RNAcentral lists this long non-coding RNA (632 nucleotides) under Elaeis guineensis (African oil palm). RNAcentral describes it as "long non-coding RNA (EGUI_LNC031291)". Lineage: Eukaryota; Viridiplantae; Streptophyta; Magnoliopsida; Arecales; Arecaceae. The record is from RNAcentral.